UCACCUUUUCCAAAAGAGAUACUUUUUUGGGUUUCUCCUCUUCAACUGCUGGUUUCUCUUCAAAUGCUAGUUCAUUUUGUUCCUGUGUUGGUUCUUCAGGUGUUUCUUCAGUUAUUGGGUUUUCAGGUUUCUCUUCAAAUGCUUGUUCAUUUGGUGUUUCUUCCUGUGUUGGUUCUUCAGGUGCUUCUUCAGUUACUGGUUUUUCAGGUUUAUCUUCAACUGCUGGUUCUUCUAGUGUCUCCUCAAUCGAUGGUUCUUCAAGUUCCUCUCUUGCUACUGGUUUUUCAGAUUUCUCUUCAACUGCUGGUUGUUCAGGUUUUUUCAUAACCACUGACUCUUCAGAUCUCUCUUCAAUUGCUGGUUCUUCAGUUUUUUCCUCAACUGAUUCAUAAUCGGCAAUAGCAUUGUUGGUAAUGCAUUGAAUUGCAUUGUCUGUCUUGUUCUUUGACUUUUCAAUUGGUGAAUUCUGCAAAAAUAAAUAAAUUGAAGUUUCAUUUAGUCUUUCAAUGGAUAAAACAGAUGUAAAUUCGUUACGCAUAUAAAGCUAAUAUGAUGGAUAAACUUUGUGAAAGUGUUUAAUCCUCACAUUCUCCUGAAGAGCUUCCGUUUCAGGUUUCUCCUCUUCAAUUGCUUUCUUUUCAGCUUUCUCUUCAACAUCUAGUUCUUCAAGUGUCUCUUCAACGGUUGGUUCUCUAGGUUUCUCUUCAAGGGCUAGCUCUUCAGGCAUUUCCUCCUCUGCUAGUUCUUCAGGUGUUUCUUUAGCUGUUGGUUCUUCAGGUUUCUCUCCAGCCUCUGGUUUUCGAGUUUUCUCCUCAAAUGAUUCUUCAGAUUUUUCCUCAACCUUUGGUUCUUCACGUUUCUCCCUAACCAUUGGUAAAUCAGGUUUCUCUAGUUUUUCAGGUUUUUCUUCAACUGCUGGUUCCUCAAAUUCUGCAAAGUUAGCAGCAUCAUUGUUGGUAUUGCAUGGAAGUUCAUUCUCACUUUUGUCGUUUGAGUCUACAACUUGUAUUUUCU
RNAcentral lists this long non-coding RNA (1014 nucleotides) under Solanum tuberosum (potato). RNAcentral's name for it is "long non-coding RNA (STUB_LNC003301)". Lineage: Eukaryota; Viridiplantae; Streptophyta; Magnoliopsida; Solanales; Solanaceae. The record is from RNAcentral.